RNAcentral lists this ribosomal RNA (738 nucleotides) under uncultured Capnocytophaga sp. RNAcentral's name for it is "bacterial SSU rRNA". It matches the Rfam family "Bacterial small subunit ribosomal RNA", at positions 28 to 776 of the family's 1533-position model. Lineage: Bacteria; Pseudomonadati; Bacteroidota; Flavobacteriia; Flavobacteriales; Flavobacteriaceae. The record is from RNAcentral.
GAUGACGCUAGCGGCAGGCUAACACAUGCAAGUCGAGGGAGAAGCCUUCGGGCUGAACCGGCGCACGGGUGCGUACGCGUAUACAUCUGCCUUUCACAUAGGGAUAGCCCGAAGAAAUUUGGAUUAAUACCUAAUGGUAUAUAGGAGCGGCAUCGUUUUUAUAUUAAAGCUACGGUGGUGAAAGAUGAGUAUGCGUUCUAUUAGCUAGUUGGAGAGGUAACGGCUCCCCAAGGCGACGAUAGAUAGGGGUUCUGAGAGGGAUGUCCCCCACACUGGUACUGAGAUACGGACCAGACUCCUACGGGAGGCAGCAGUGAGGAAUAUUGGACAAUGGUCGGAAGACUGAUCCAGCCAUGCCGCGUGCAGGAUGAAGGUCCUAUGGAUUGUAAACUGCUUUUGUAAGGGAAGAAUAAGGGGUACGUGUACUUUGAUGACGGUACCUUACGAAUAAGCAUCGGCUAACUCCGUGCCAGCAGCCGCGGUAAUACGGGGGAUGCGAGCGUUAUCCGGAAUCAUUGGGUUUAAAGGGUCCGUAGGCGGGCUAAUAAGUCAGAGGUGAAAGCGUUCAGCUCAACUGAGCAACUGCCUUUGAAACUGUUAGUCUUGAAUGAUUGUGAAGUAGUUGGAAUGUGUAGUGUAGCGGUGAAAUGCUUAGAUAUUACACAGAACACCGAUAGCGAAGGCAUAUUACUAACAAUUUAUUGACGCUGAUGGACGAAAGCGUGGGGAGCGAACAGG